This 77-nucleotide transfer RNA is filed under the name Oscillospiraceae bacterium. RNAcentral's name for it is "tRNA-Ala". It matches the Rfam family "tRNA". From Rfam's summary of the family: Transfer RNA (tRNA) molecules are approximately 80 nucleotides in length. Their secondary structure includes four short double-helical elements and three loops (D, anti-codon, and T loops). The record is from RNAcentral. Lineage: Bacteria; Bacillati; Bacillota; Clostridia; Eubacteriales; Oscillospiraceae.
GGGGGCGUAGCACAGUCUGGUAGUGCGCACGGUUCGCAUCCGUGAGGUCAGGGGUUCGAUUCCCCUCGUCUCCACCA